This 253-nucleotide ribosomal RNA is filed under the name uncultured bacterium. RNAcentral's name for it is "partial 16S ribosomal RNA". It matches the Rfam family "Bacterial small subunit ribosomal RNA", at positions 524 to 776 of the family's 1533-position model. The record is from RNAcentral.
UACAGAGGGUGCGAGCGUUGUCCGGAAUCACUGGGCGUAAAGGGCGCGUAGGCGGCUCGGUCAGCGUGCGGUGAAAGCCCGGGGCUCAACCCCGGGUCGGCCGUGCGAACUGCUGGGCUGGAGCACUGUAGAGGCAGGUGGAAUUCCGGGUGUAGCGGUGGAAUGCGUAGAGAUCCGGAAGAACACCGGUGGCGAAGGCGGCCUGCUGGGCAGUAGCUGACGCUGAGGAGCGAAAGCGUGGGGAGCGAACAGG